UCCGCGAGUCGGCACGACCAGCUCCCGUCGAAUUCCCCCAGGGCAGGAAUGCAGCAAGGGUAGACGGUCGUAGCGGUGCGAUGUCGGCUCGCCUUUUU
RNAcentral lists this signal recognition particle RNA (98 nucleotides) under Mangrovivirga cuniculi. RNAcentral's name for it is "signal recognition particle sRNA small type". It matches the Rfam family "Bacteroidales small SRP", at positions 10 to 101 of the family's 107-position model. Rfam says of the family: The non-coding component of the signal recognition particle in Bacteroides RNAcentral also lists the same sequence under 1 other name. Lineage: Bacteria; Pseudomonadati; Bacteroidota; Cytophagia; Cytophagales; Mangrovivirgaceae. The record is from RNAcentral.